AAAAACACAGCGAUUGGGAGUAGUAGAAGCUUAUUAUUCGGUCAAGAGAGCUACGGGUUGGUGCAACGUAGUCCAAUAAUACUUUGAACUCGCCCAGGAGUGGUAAUUCAGAAAGAAUGCAGAAGUAUUCUCUAAGUUUUAACGUCUAACCUUCGUUAUCAGGUUUUAAGCAGGGUUCUUUAAGAGCCAACAAGAGUGGUACCGCGGUCAGCUAAAGCUUAUCGUCUCUUCU
This 232-nucleotide non-coding RNA is filed under the name Priestia megaterium. RNAcentral's name for it is "Bacillus megaterium T-box sequence". It matches the Rfam family "T-box leader". From Rfam's summary of the family: Uncharged tRNA acts as the effector for transcription antitermination of genes in the T-box leader family. T-boxes are found upstream of many aminoacyl-tRNA synthetase genes and some amino acid biosynthetic genes usually in Gram-positive bacteria. The record is from RNAcentral. Lineage: Bacteria; Bacillati; Bacillota; Bacilli; Caryophanales; Bacillaceae.